Molecule: long non-coding RNA, 1307 nt
Organism: Helianthus annuus (common sunflower)
Lineage: Eukaryota; Viridiplantae; Streptophyta; Magnoliopsida; Asterales; Asteraceae
Exons: 2
Source: RefSeq, a predicted model, not a curated record
AUGUUAACGUAAAAAACCGGCGCGUAAAACGUAAAACUUUUAGGUAAAAUGUAAAACGUAAAUUUUUUUUAGUAAAACGUAAAACGUAAAAAACCGGCGCGUAAAACGUUAAAAACCGGCGCGUUAAAGGUUAGAGGUUCAGAGUCUAGUGGUGGUGCGGUUGCUGGGGCCUUACCUGGUUCGGUGGUGGCGUACGGCGGCACACAGCAUAGAAGCAGAGAGAGAGAGGUAGUUAGGAGAGAGAGGGAAACGACGGAGAACAACGAAACAUUUACCAGUCGUUCAUUUCUCUGGCGAGCACCCCCUUCUUCGUAUGUCUGAUGAUGAUGAUGAUGUUGCUGACGGCGGUGAUAAUCCUCUGGCGGUUCCUUUUUUUUCCGGUAACUCCUCAUAACUCUUCUUUUCUUUUGACUUUUUUUAAGAUCUGAUGAUGCUUCGGCCAGUGGGUGGUGGUUUCAGGUGGAACUUGGUGGUGGCCGAUGAUGUACGGGGUGUUGACGACGGCGGAUAUGGUGGCAGCGAAGUUUGCCGGCAAUUGGUUGGCGACGAUGUGCCGACAACAUCGCUAAUGGUGAUGGGUAUUUUUGGCAUUCGGAUUAGUUUCGGGUGGAUCGGGUUUCGUGGCUCAGUCGGAUCCGGGUCAAUAAACUGGUCCUGGUAUAAACGAAAUGGUACUUUAGACAUUUCAUUAGUAGUACUACAAUCUUAGUCAUUGAACCAAAAACGAAAACUUCUAUGCUGCAAUAGUUGAAAGUGGCAUCAUAUAUUAUGGGCAAAGGUCACAACAUAUGUAUCCAUUUUGAGGGAACUUGCUUUUCUAGAUUAUCUUUUUUUUCUUAUCCGUUUUGACGUUUCCUCGACAUAACACCGGGGAUUGGUUAUGUUGGCUCGGAUUAUGUCAGGAUCGGUUCAGAUUAGACGAUAGCUCGGGUCAUAGCUCGGUUCGGGUGAUGGUUUUUGUUCUUGGUUCAGAUUUGGGGAGUGUUUGGGUCGUGGAUUGUGCAAGUCAGAUUUUGGUUCGGCAGAAAUUCGGGUUCUCGCUUCGAGUUCGGGUAUCGGAUCAAGCUUCGGGUUUGGUCAACGAUUCGGUCAACUGUUCAACAACGGUUAAACGCGGUCAACUCAGGACCGGGUAACAACUUAAACAUGGCGAGUUGUUAUUAUUAGGCUAGUUAGAUUAGUUUACACGGUUUUUUAGAUUUUAUUAUAGCUAUACGCGACCGAGCUCGACCAUAUUCGAUUAAGUAUUAGUUUACAUAUUAAUAUACUUGACGAAGAGUUUAUAUAUAUUGUUAUAUUUUGAGUAA